AUACGUAGGGAGCGAGCGUUGUCCGGAAUUACUGGGUGUAAAGGGAGCGUAGGCGGGAGUGCAAGUCAGAUGUGAAAUACAUGGGCUCAACCCAUGGGCUGCAUUUGAAACUGCAUUUCUUGAGUGAAGUAGAGGUAAGCGGAAUUCCUGGUGUAGCUGUGAAAUGCGUAGAUAUCAGGAGGAAAACCGGUGGCGAAGGCGGCUUACUGGGCUUUUACUGACGCUGAGGCUCGAAAGCGUGGGGAGCAAACAGGAUUAGAUACCCUGGUAGUCCACGCUGUAAACGAUGUUUACUAGGUGUAGUGGGACUUACCCCUUCCGUGCCGCAGUUAACACAAUAAGUAAUCCCCCUGGGGAGUACGGCCGCAAGGUUGAAACUUAAAUGAUUUGGCGGG
RNAcentral lists this ribosomal RNA (395 nucleotides) under uncultured bacterium. RNAcentral describes it as "partial 16S ribosomal RNA". It matches the Rfam family "Bacterial small subunit ribosomal RNA", at positions 523 to 917 of the family's 1533-position model. The record is from RNAcentral.